AUUGAACGCUGGCGGCAGGCCUAACACAUGCAAGUCGAACGAGUGGCGGACGGGUGAGUAAUGUCUGGGAAACUGCCUGAUGGAGGGGGAUAACUACUGGAAACGGUAGCUAAUACCGCAUACCCUCGGCUGUCCCCCGAUGGGAUUAGCUAGUAGGUGGGGUAAAGGCGCACCUAGGCGACGAUCCCUAGCUGGUCUGAGAGGAUGCCCAGCCACACUGGAACUGAGACACGGUCCAGACGCCUACGGGAGGCAGCAGUGGGGAAUAUUGCACAAUGGGCGCAAGCCUGAGGCAGCCAUGCCGCGUGUAUGAAGAAGGCCUUCGGGUUGUAAAGUACUUUCAGCGGGGAGGCGUUACCCGCAGAAGAAGCACCGGCUAACUCCGUGCCAGCAGCCGCGGUAAUUC
This 406-nucleotide ribosomal RNA is filed under the name uncultured bacterium. RNAcentral's name for it is "partial 16S ribosomal RNA". It matches the Rfam family "Bacterial small subunit ribosomal RNA", at positions 30 to 526 of the family's 1533-position model. The record is from RNAcentral.